GAAAUCAUAAUUGCACUUCUCUCUCUCUCCUCAAAACCGAAAACACACACACACACACCUACACAUUUUUGUUUUUUCAUCAUCUUCUUCAAGAUCCAUGUUCAUUCCAACCUAGUUUCUAAGGUGUUUGAAGAUCCAAGGGUGUUUUUCAAGUGAUUCCAAGCAUUUGCAAGCUCCAUAUCAUCAAAAAUCUCAUCAAAACCUACUAAUUUUCUUAAAGGAGCGAAUGUUUGAUGUGAGCGAGCUUCACUUAGGGCGACUUGGGCCUUAGAAAUCUAAAAUCAAGAAAGUUAUCAUCUUUUAUGUUAUGUGUUUUGUUUGAUCUAUGACAAUGUAAUAAUUUAAACUUGUAAAACUUAACUUUAAGUAUCAUGUGUUUUGAAACAAUAAUUCUGCCACACGACUCCCCGACGUUUCCGCGGCGGUUUGUUGUUUUACGUGGUCGGGGUGUGACACCCUAACCCUCAAGAAACCAUCAAAAUUGAAAGGACUUUCAGCUCAAAUCUUCUGCAUGAACAAGGAUUCUCGAUCACUCAGCUCUAUAAACCACUUGGUAAGUUGUAAAUUCUGAUUUGGUGAUUUUGUAAGAAGUGGGUUUUCGAUCAAUCCACGAAUUAGUAUGAAAUUAAGCAUUAUUAUGUGCUAGAAUCGCCAUACGGAACAUGUGUUAUGCAUGAUUUUGUUCAAUUAGGUGUUUGGAGGUGAAACCCACCAUGGAUGAUGGAAAUGGCGACAUAGGUAUGCCACCCAUAUCCAACCUUUGUUUGAUUCUUGAUAUGCUAUGUUGUAUGUGACCAACUUGUUAGUUAUAUUGAACAUGAUAUGAAAUUGAAUUGUUAUUUGUAUUUUGGAUGAUUGAAAGCAAGAACUAGGAAGAAAAGUAUGAAGGUUAUCUGUACAUUAUGUUUAAAACUUGUACGCGCACCAAGUGUUCGAUGAAAUGACUAGGUGAAUUUAGAAGGUGAAAUUAUAUGCAAGAAAGUGGUAAUUAGAUAUGGAAUGUGUUAAAGAGGUGUUUGAUUGUAAAUUAACAUGAGAAUUGAGUUUAGACAUAGUUCGUUGCUAAGUAUGGAUCAUGGUGCAAGUGUAGAAUUAUGGAGGUUUCUAUUAUGGUGUGUACAUGAAAACCAGUGACAUUGUGAUUGAAUGAGUAUCUCACCAUGAGUGUACCAUAUGCUUGUUGAAAUAAUUAAUGGAACCCGAAUGUGAAAUGUGAAUUAAUAUGGUUGUUCUCAUGUAUAAUUUCAUAUGCUAACAAGUACGUGAGUGUAAUGAAACGAAAGUAUGUGUGAGUAAAUGUGUAUGCGUGUAUGAUUAUGUGAUCAUGUGGUUGUAAGUACAUUUGCAUCAUAAGUAAGAAAUGUAUAUAGUGUCAUAUGUAUAGCCUAAUAUGAUGUCGCGAAUAUAUGAGGUUAAGUCGAAAAUUUAUACAUUAAACCGUUGACUUUUGAAAGUCAACUGCACAUAAGGGGCAUUACUAGAAUCUUGUCACAAAUAGAAGAUCUUAGAAUGUCAUAUGGUGUGUUAAAUUAAUAUGCGUUUUAUGUGUUAACAUGAUGGAUUGUAUGAGUUUGAAAAGAUGUGAUUUUAGGUGUAUGCCUUAAGUUUGUUAGACUUGAGUAUGAAAGUCAAAUGCGAGUUAUGCAUUCGACAUGAUCAUUUAUAUGUAAAAUCAUGUAUACUAACAAGGAUGUGAUUGCGGUGACACGAAAGCAUUAGGUAUCAUGUGGAAAUGGACUCAAGCAAGAAAGACUAACGGGUCAAGAGGAGACAAGGAAGCGAAUGCGAAAACGGACGCUCAAGGUAGGAAUGAUUCUCGGGGCUGAAAGUAGCUAGUUACGUUGGAAAUAAAAUGGUGGAAUCGAACGGGUCGAAUAAUGGCACGAAGGAUCUUUAAGCCUUUUUCUUAUAAUUCAGCUUUUGAUGUGAGAUAGGAUGGUGAACGAAUCCGUAAUUAAAUUACGGACACGCAGAAACAAGAAUUACACAAAGCGGGCGCUUAGCUCAAAAGUUAUGUAAGUUUCAAGUUGAGUUUUGGUUGAAAACAUAGCUGGGCACUUUAUACAGCAACACAGGGAAGUAUUCUGUCGAAAUAGGGCUGUCGCACUACGCGACAACAAUUCAGUUUCACCGUCACGCAACGCGACAGAUGUCGCGCCCCCCGAGAGCCAGUUAGCUAGCAAAUCUUUUUUUUUUCUAGUUCGUUUCAGCAAGAAUUUUCACUCAACAGUUGGAACGUUCACUCGUCAGCAAGAAUGUUCACUCAACAGUUGGAAUGCUCACUCGUCAGCAAGAUUGUUCACUCAACAGUUGGAAUGUUCACUCAUCAGCAAGAAUGUUCACUCAACAGUUGAAAUGCUCACUCAUGAGCAAGAACGUUCACUCAAAGUAUGUGUGGGAAAGAAAUAAGUUUGGAGAUAUGUAUGUGUAUAGAUCUACCUACAUGUUAGUGACAGAAUCCAUAGGUAAGCAUGAAUUGAAAUGAACAUGCACGUAAGUUUGUACGUAUGAGACUUAUUUAUAUGGAUGUUUGU
Molecule: long non-coding RNA, 2534 nt
Filed under: Helianthus annuus (common sunflower)
Lineage: Eukaryota; Viridiplantae; Streptophyta; Magnoliopsida; Asterales; Asteraceae
Description: hypothetical non coding rna
Source: RNAcentral